RNAcentral lists this ribosomal RNA (365 nucleotides) under uncultured eukaryote. RNAcentral's name for it is "partial 18S ribosomal RNA". It matches the Rfam family "Eukaryotic small subunit ribosomal RNA", at positions 592 to 976 of the family's 1831-position model. The record is from RNAcentral.
CAAUAGCGUAUAUUUAAGUUGUUGCAGUUAAAAAGCUCGUAGUCGGAUUUUGGCUGAGAACGAUCGGUCCGCCGUUAGGUGUGCACUGAUUGGUCUCAGCUUCCUGGUGAGGAGGUGUGCUUCACGGCCACUUAGUCACCGUGGUUACUUUGAAAAAAUUAGAGUGUUCAAAGCGGGCUUACGCUUGAAUAUAUUAGCAUGGAAUAACACCAUAGGACUCCUGUCCUAUUUCGUUGGUCACGGGACGGGAGUAAUGAUUAAGAGGAACAGUUGGGGGCAUUCGUAUUUCAUUGUCAGAGGUGAAAUUCUUGGAUUUAUGAAAGACGAACUUCUGCGAAAGCACUUGCCAAGGAUGUUUUCAUUGA